Long non-coding RNA from Leptinotarsa decemlineata (Colorado potato beetle), 380 nucleotides. Lineage: Eukaryota; Metazoa; Arthropoda; Insecta; Coleoptera; Chrysomelidae. The record is from RefSeq and is a predicted model, not a curated record.
AUGUCUCGGUAGUCCGUGCUUUCGUCUGCCAACUUCGUGUCGCAACGUGUCUGCCGGUAUUUUCAGAAAAUUCCGAGUUUUCAACGAAAAUUCACUGGACAAUUUCGGUUCGGGCGUUGAGGUGAUUUGGGCAGGUGGAGUGCGAGUUUCGGGAAUUGGUGCUGACUAAUCCAAUAACCGUCAAUCUCAUAAUGCUCUUUUGAAGAACUCGACUUAUAAUUUUUUUGAAAAAUGUUAUCAAGAAGCGCCCCGAAGAGAAAGAGUAUUUAUUGGGAUUUCGCUCAUUUCAAUCUUUUCAUUUCGUGAAAUCGGCAUCGAAAUAUUUGGGAAACAUCUUCACAUUUUGGAGGUUCGUUGGUGAUACUGAAAUCGAAGUUCGU